Molecule: unclassified non-coding RNA, 822 nt
Filed under: Hevea brasiliensis (rubber tree)
Lineage: Eukaryota; Viridiplantae; Streptophyta; Magnoliopsida; Malpighiales; Euphorbiaceae
Source: RNAcentral
UUAGAUACAAUAUCACGGGUAAGUCAAAUUAUCUUUUUAUUAGUUCAGGUAUAAGCAUUUGGUCAUGUUGCUCAAGUUUUAGUUUCACUCUUAGGCUCCAUUUAUUUCAUGGAAAUUAUUUUCUGCAUUUUUUCUGGUGUUUAGGGAACCUAGGAAAAUUGGUUAAUAGAAAAUGUUUUCCUAGUGAAGGAGAAAUUAGGCCAUGUUCAAGGAAAAUGACUCCUCCAUCUGAAAAGAGAACAAUUUCUGUACUUUGAAGAACUUAUUAAAAGAGGGAGGCCUAUAUGGAAACUACAUGAAGACAUACUUACUAGUCUACCAGCUACUGUUCAUCUUUGAUAGAACACCAGAUUUUAUUUGUUUGAGAGUUCUACUCUGACAUCACCUUUUGCAUUUUUGAUGUAAAAAUUAAUGUGAGAUGAUUUUAUAAUGGAUUCUUGAAUAAUAUUGGGUUAUUAAAUUGAAUUGAAGAAUUCAGGAGUUCUAUGACAAUUUUUAUAUAUUGGGAAGUCAGCUUCUUAAGCCAAUAACAUUUGACCAUGUGUUAAAUAAUGUUUGUUAAAGUGGAGUGCUAUUGGAAACAUUUGGCGAAGUAAUGCAUGGAAUUAAUCAUAAAGCUAUACACUUGAAUUGUUGUAGAAGUGUUACCAUGUAAUUGUUUGUGAACUUCAUUAACCAAUGUCCCAUUAACAAGUAAAAAUUACAAGAUCAUCUACCUAAUUGUGUGCAAAAACUAUCCUUAAGUAAUCUUUUGAUGUGGCAAUGGAGGGAAUUACUAGUGCCACUAGGCAUCAUUGAAACUUGUUUUGUGAGUAAUGUUGA